Long non-coding RNA from Nematostella vectensis (starlet sea anemone), 2117 nucleotides. RefSeq lists it as uncharacterized. The transcript has 2 exons. Lineage: Eukaryota; Metazoa; Cnidaria; Anthozoa; Actiniaria; Edwardsiidae. The record is from RefSeq and is a predicted model, not a curated record.
UGUUCAAGUACUGUAUACACCUAUUUCUAAAAAGAUUGACAGCGCAAUUGGCGAUUGCCAACUUGCAGCGUAUGAGUAGUGUAAUUAUUUGUAAAAGUGAAGAGGGUAAAUAAACUCAGGCGAUGUCAGAACCAUAUACUGUCAACCUUCAAUGGAUAGUCGUAUGUUCUAUUCAUAUUUUUCUGAAUUUGGAACAAAUAUUUUGGGAGCCACGCGUCCUUCAGGUCAUGGAGCUACCAUUUGUCACUGUUUGCACUAAAAAUUAAUUUUAUAGGUGUAUGCCUGAACAUUUUGAUAAUUUAUGUAGAUAAUUUAUGAUAUACAUUCUAUAUAAUUUGAUCCGCUUUUAUGAUAGGAUGGGCGGAAUUUCAUGGUGAUUGAGGCAAAUUGACUUUUCUACUAUCUUAUCUAAAUUAUCUUAACUAAUCUUACCUUAACUAUCUUCAACUUAUAAUAAUGAACUAAUUAAUUAGGCUGAACGAGAACAUCAACCUGCACUUGCCUUUGAGCUUUGAACUUUGGCACCAUCAUCAGAAAGAAAGAAAAACACAGAUAAACAGGCACAAUUACAAACACAGAUAAACAGGCAGAUAAACAGGCACAAGUACAAACACAGAUAAACAGGCAGAUAAACAGGCACAAGUACAAACACAGAUAAACAGGCACAAGUACCUUGACAGAUAAACAGGCACAAGUACCUUGACAGAUAAACAGGCACAAGUACCUUGACAGAUAAACAGGCACAAGUACCUUGACAGAUAAACAGGCACAAGUACCUUGACAGAUAAACAGGCACAAGUGCCAACACAGAUAAACAGGCACAAGUGCCAACACAGAUAAACAGGCACAAGUACCAACACAGAUAAACAGGCACAAGUACCAACACAGAUAAACAGGCACAAGUACCAACACAGAUAAACAGGCACAAAUACCAACACAGAUAAACAGGCACAAGUACCAACACAGAUAAACAGGCACAAGUACCAACACAGAUAAACAGGCACAAGUACAAACACAGAUAAACAGGCACAAGUACCUUGACAGAUAAACAGGCACAAGUGCCAACACAGAUAAACAGGCACAAGUACAAACACAGAUAAACAGGCAGAUAAACAGGCACAAGUGCCAACACAGAUAAACAGGCACAAGUACCUUGACAGAUAAACAGGCACAAGUACAAACACAGAUAAACAGGCAGAUAAACAGGCACAAGUGCCAACACAGAUAAACAGGCACAAGUACCUUGACAGAUAAACAGGAACAAGUGCCAACACAGAUAAACAGGCACAAGUACAAACACAGAUAAACAGGCACAAGUACCAACACAGAUAAACAGGCACAAGUGCCAACACAGAUAAACAGGCACAAGUACCAACACAGAUAAACAGGCACAAAUACCAACACAGAUAAACAGGCACAAGUACCUUGACAGAUAAACAGGCACAAGUGCCAACACAGAUAAACAGGCACAAGUACCUUGACAGAUAAACAGGCACAAGUACCAACACAGAUAAACAGGCACAAGUACCUUGACAGAUAAACAGGCACAGGUACCAACACAGAUAAACAGGCACAAGUACCAACACAGAUAAACAGGCACAAGUGCCAACACAGAUAAACAGGCACAAGUACCUUGACAGAUAAACAGGCACAAGUACCAACACAGAUAAACAGGCACAAGUGCCAACACAGAUAAACAGGCACAAGUACCAACACAGAUAAACAGGCACAAGUGCCAACACAGAUAAACAGGCACAAGUACCAACACAGAUAAACAGGCACAAGUGCCAACACAGAUAAACAGGCACAAGUACAAACACAGAUAAACAGGCAGAUAAACAGGCACAAGUGCCAACACAGAUAAACAGGCACAAGUACCUUGACAGAUAAACAGGCACAAGUACAAACACAGAUAAACAGGCAGAUAAACAGGCACAAGUGCCAACACAGAUAAACAGGCACAAGUACCUUGACAGAUAAACAGGAACAAGUGCCAACACAGAUAAACAGGCACAAGUACAAACACAGAUAAACAGGCACAAGUACCAACACAGAUAAACAGGCACAAGUGCCAACACAGAUAAACAGGCACAAGUACCAACACAGAUAAACAGGCA